RNAcentral lists this ribosomal RNA (490 nucleotides) under uncultured bacterium. Its description in RNAcentral is "partial 16S ribosomal RNA". It matches the Rfam family "Bacterial small subunit ribosomal RNA", at positions 28 to 507 of the family's 1533-position model. The record is from RNAcentral.
GAUGAACGCUGGCGGCAUGCCUUACACAUGCAAGUCGAACGGCAGCAUGACCUAGCUUGCUGGGUUGCUGGCGAGUGGCGAACGGGUGAGUCAUGCAUCGGAACGUGCUGUUUAGUGGGGGAUAACGUAGCGAAAGGUACGCUAAUACCGCAUAUUCUCUGAGGCGUAAAGCAGGGGGCCUACGGGCCUUGCGCUAGAAGAGCGGCCGAGGUCGGAUUAGUUAGUUGGGGAGGUAAAGGCUCACCCAGGCAACGAGCCGUAGCGGGUCUGAGAGGAUGAUCCGCCACACGGGGAGUGAGACACGGCCCAGACGACUACGGGAGGCAGCAGUGGGGAAUGUUGGGCAAUGGGCGCAAGCCUGAUCCAGCCAUGCCGCGUGAGUGAAGAAGGCCUUCGGGUUGUAAAGCUCUUUCGGCUGGGAAGAAAUCGCACUCUCUAAUACAGGGUGUGGAUGACGGUACCGGCAUAAGAAGCACCGGCUAACUACGUG